GAACGUAAGUCGAUUGUUGAAAUUUUGGAAAAGUGAACUCUUUCUCAUGAGUCUAAGUGAUCCUUGGGACCCUAAGACAUGUAAGAUUGCUGAAUAUAUUCUCCAAAUCAUUUGCAUAACCCAAUGAUGAGGGUAAGAUAUUAGAGAUCAAGAAAGUCGGUAGACAAUAACUAUGACAUUCCUCAUAAUUUAGGGUAGACAAGAAAGAUGGAACCUAAUAGUAAUGCAAUUGGAAUCUCCUGUAGUUUCACAUAUAGAAGUCAGAAAUGUCGUAGAGAGCUUAUCCCACCAAAUGACCACAACCCAGGCAAGUCCAAUUUAAUAUAUAUACUGAUUUUGUUCUGCAAGAGAACCCUAUAGAAAAGAAGUAUCCACCAAGUAAAUGCACCUCCUCAGGCUAUAAGAAUUUCCCCAACUCUUUCUGAAUAAAGUCAGCCAUAGACUUGAUGUAACCUUCUCAGUGAUACCAGGACCGACUGAUAGAAACAGGCAUCCUUGAUAGGCAAGAAAUUAGAGAAUAUAUAAAAACAUAAGCUGCAUCUAAAUAUUCUCUUCAAUACACGGAUGCUUGACCCAAUUGUAGAGAUAGAGAGUUGUGGAUAAAAUCCUCCCCUGAAACACCAUCUUCUCUGUUGAUGCAAGCAGCAACCUUGGAGCUAUAUCAGCAAGAGUGAGGGAAUUCAGUACCUAGAAUAAACGAGCAUAUGGCAUGUGUCUCCUCUGCAGAGUAGAAGCAUCUGCUUAAUUCUCUUAGUAUUUCUGAUUGUGGGUUUGUCUUCUUCUGCUUUCACUGCAGAUGAUGUCUUUGGAUCUCUUGCAGGCAGAAACCUUGGUCAAGCUAGGAAUUUUGUGUUUAGUACUUAUAAUGCGCAUGUGCAUUAAGAAAUAUUAUGUUGAUGUUAAAUAUGUUGCACAAUUAUUGUGCAGAUUGCCCUGUGGAUAGAGUUGGAUUUGAGCCAAGCCAAACUCAAGCUCGAACUUUGCUUGGUUACUGU
This is a long non-coding RNA of Mangifera indica (mango), 995 nucleotides long. RefSeq lists it as uncharacterized. The record is from RefSeq and is a predicted model, not a curated record. NCBI's taxonomy places the organism in Eukaryota, Viridiplantae, Streptophyta, Magnoliopsida, Sapindales, Anacardiaceae. The transcript has 4 exons.